CUCGGAGUCAGCAAGAAAAAAAUUGUAUUUUUUCUCCUCAUUUCAUCUAGUUUGUAAGACUGUAAAAAACAAGAGCUAUUUCUUAGCGGAAAGCAGGCAACAAAAUUAAGAACCUUCACCGCAGUCGGAAAGCCACCAGAUCACAUCACUAUCAUAUCCACCUAACUUUUGCUCUAGUAAGGUGUGAUGCCAAUCCAGGAUUACUUCUUAACUGCAUGGCCAAGAGAGCUCGGUGUCUGAACCAUCACUGAUGGCAAGUUUGUGUGCAGCCCUGAAAGAGAGAAAAGCCUGCUGCAGCGCAGCACAGCACCCGGACUGAGCGAGCAGCAGUUCCUCCAGCGAGACAGGGGCAGGGUCUGCUCACCAUCAGCAUCAGCGUCCAUGACAGCCCCAGCACCGAGAGGCAUGGACUUUAAUAUUUUAGAGCGGGCUAUAAAGGCAAGUUGCUCCUGCAGAUAGAUAAUCACUUCAGGCAAUGCCAAAGGUUCAUAAAAGAUUGGGGUGGCAAUAAUAAUUUUAAAGGAAAUAUCUGACUUAAAAAAAAAAUCAUUUUAAGUGGAAGCAUAUAAUCAUUCUCUUAGCCUGAUUUGCAAUAACCAAAUUGAUGCCAUCUAGGUCACUGCUGAGCAUUAAAAAAAGGAAUUCAGACUUAGACAGAAGUGCUGACCAUAACUCCAUUACUGAAUUCCAUAUUAUAAUUAAAAUCCUGCUCCAUUUUUUGUUCUCUAUGAAAUUAAUAUUUUUACAAAACUGGUAUCUCGGUACUUGACAACAAACGCAUUUGAAAUUAUCUUCACAAACAGAUGCAUUAUUUUUUUUUUUGUUAGAAAUUAACUGACAUUUAUUCCUUAUGAGAUUUCUCCUACUGACCUUCGACACGAGCUGGUGCAGACAGGUCGAGCAGACCACGGGGCUGAAAUGACCUGAAAUCUGCUGCACGUUUGGGUUACGGUGAGCAUCCCCGGCUGCCUCGCACCGUCGUUACGCCUCAGGUCAGCAGCUCGGGGUCCUGACGCGGGGGCUGCAGGGCCCAUCGCCCUCUCUUGUGCUCGGCUUUAUUGCCUCUAAUUAGUCCAGAGCAGGAGACAAACUGAACUUGGCACGGCAACAAUUCCUAGCAGCAGCCUUGGCUCCAUGGCUGCAACUUGUGUGGGCACCAGCACCUGCGAAGCUCCCCACGCUGCCUCGGUCCUGCGAGCACGGGAGCUGUGUUACUGGGGGAACUGGAAGGGACACAGCUGGUCAAAGUGUUUUGAGCUGUGCCAGGCUCGGCGACACCGUCCUCUAAACUGGUCAAACUGGGCAGCAGGCUGACCGGUAGGCUCUGGCAGCCAGCAGCGGAGGGCAGCUGUAAAACCCUUACCUUCAGAGUUUUCCAAUCGCAUUUUAAAGUGGUUCUGUGCAUCACCAAACACAGCUGAGCGAGCUCUGUCUUGAGAACGUAUAUAAAAAGAUAACGUACGGUUCCAGAGAAAAACAAUCACUAGAUUAAAUAAAUAAAUACCCUUCUUUGAAGUGAUUUUAAUCUAAUCUGGCUGCAGGAUAUAAUCCUAACAGCACACGGACUGCAGUAUGCUCUAGGAAAUAGUUAGCAGGUUUAGACACAUGAAUAGAUUUUUUUUCUCCUAAGAUGCAUUAAUAAUGAAAACUUUUAAAGCUUAACAAGGAUUUACCGUGCUUGGGAUUUCGGAGUAACUCUAACGUCGCCACAACGACUGUUACAGCCAGCCUUACCUUCGUGUUUUGGUCCAGGCAGCGCAGCGCAUCCUGCGGAGGGCAAGCCAGGCUUCAGGGCACGACAGGGAAACUCACCUCUACCCACUGCCAGGGAUACCACGCUGCAUAGCCAAGGGUCAGCUUCAGUAAAACUUACCAAAAUACUGCCUUUCUGGACUGAAUACAUUGCAAAAAAAUAUAUACAUAAUUUUCUGGCUGGUAUUCAAAGUGUACCAUUGCCUCAGCCAGACCCUACGCCAGGGGGAACUUUUACAAGGUGGAGUAAAACCUAGGUGUAAAGCGACUCAGCACCAGUAGGAAAUUUCUAAUACUCCAACGCAGUUUUAUCAUUACAUAAACAGACCCCACACACGGAGUUAUUGCCAGGAUUUUACAUACGAGUGCCUGAAGCUCUCGAGAGGCCUUCCAGGGUAAGCACACAAAGGAAACACUCCCCGUAAGCCACCCCCGGGCAGUGAAAUAUGGGAAACCGAGCUGCUUUAGACGAAAGCAAGCUGGUGAAAUCUAAAGUUAGGCUCAUGAAAGUAAACACGCGUGUUUGAAAUUCCAAGAUUAACUGCGGGCUCGGGGCGGGAGGAAGCAGGAGCAUCUACCCGCACAAAAGAAAAGCUCCAAACUAUUCCAAGUUUCCAGCACCCCGGGGUCCCGUAAGCUGUUAGUUAAGCACUCGUGGCUGACCGAGACGCUUCACUUCUCCUCGUUGUUCACAAGGUGGCCGCGUGAAAUUCCCUGGCUAUCGGCAGGAUUUACGGAGAACCCCGAACACGGGCUGCAAGGUCCGAAUUCACCAUAUAUAUAUGCAUAUAUAUAUAUAUAAAUGCUGCAAAUGAAACCAAAAACGAAGGCGGGUUGUGAAGUUUCUUGGGUCCCAACGUUUGCAGGCGCUUGCCAGGGAAGAUAAUUGAAUCGGGGCCAAUCUUCCUGCUCCAAGGGAACCUCGGCGUCUCAUUUACCCCCAGCAGGCUGCUCGGGACCGAAUGAGACUCAGCCCUUUUCCUUCUCCUGAAGUAACCUAAAUAUAAAGGGGGUUAAAAAUUUGUUCCCAUUAACUGCACAUGGUGAAGCCCCUGCCAACCUCGGUGCUCAGGAUGGUUUCUUGCAGCCUGCCGGGUCUCGCUCGGCGGCCCCGGUGGUCCUGUGGCUCCCUGCCUCUCUCCAGCCCUGCACGGCCCUCUCUGCCCGGCCACUUACCGCACCCUCCGCUCGCUCGGGGCUGCUGAAAAGCCAGAGGGAGAUCUUACCUUUUCCUGGAGAGAAAUUAACAACCGAGCACCGUGCUGGCGGCCAGCUGGUAGCUCAUCCCCUUAACGUUUUCUAAAUGGAAAAGUGCGAAAUAAGGUGCGGAGAGGCUGUCUUUUGAAACGGCGCUAAAUCACGACAGCAUCAGGAGUGUUUUGGGGUAAAUAAACAGGAGGACUGAACAAUAGGAAGGCACCUUUUAUGACAAGUGGAGUGCUCCGUCAGCGUCUGCCUGUAUGGGACCUCUUGGCUUCACGCGCUCGGGUGGACCUUUUGCAGAGCCCUGCAACAGUUUCCAUCAAAAUCAAUUCCUGCUCCUCGCGGUUUAAUUACCUAUGAUUUCGCUUGUAAACUGUUUCACCUUUCAGGCUGACCUCCAUUUACAACGUUACUCAGGCGACAAAAUUAAACAGUUUGGAGUGGGAAGCAGGGAGAAUUUAAAUGUACGGGGCGUGCUUUGGGAAAGGGCAGGCACCUGCUGCAGCACAGCUCCGCUCCCUCCCCGAGCCAGGAGGGCAACGCUCGGCGCGGAAGAAAAAGCAGAAGCUUUUGGGUAAGAGCACUUAAAUGGGACGCUGCUCGUAUCGCACUCCUCGUGCCACGCGUGACAUCAGUUCCAUCAAAUCCCCUCCUCGGCUGAAGCAGCAGCGAGCUCAAGGUUAUGCUCUUGGAAUUUAAAAAGCUGUUUUUAGGUCGGUCCCAAGAGAUUAUUUUAAAACACGGUACGAGGCAUCUGCUGGAGAGUAGAAGAGUUGGCUUUAAUUGUACGAGGGGUUUUUACAUAGCUUCUGACCUUUCAUCUAAUUGAGGCCUAAAGAAGAAAAAAAAAGAGGAAAAGCUACACGUCACUUCGGUUAUUAAAAUCCAUCAGGCUCAGACUUUAGCCCUGGGAUAACCGCAGCCAAAAAAUUGACUCGCAAGUAAUUAUCACUGCUAUCUGCAAUAAAAGUUAAUUGGACAUAAUUGAACUAAAGCCCUAAUCUGAAUGAAGCUGUUGCUGGCAAGAAGCCUGCUCCUGCCUGCACUUUGCAAAUGAAACUGCUAAGCAGGGAAAUGGACAAACACGGGGCUGCUCCCACAGCCUGCAAAGCGCCGGGCGAGUCUGCAAGCAGCUCGUUAGCUGCGCCAGGCUAAAGCCAUUAGCGGGGCCUGUCCUCACCAGAAGUGCCUUCUGAUGAUACCCAAGUGCGACAGAGGUAGAGAGCUUCCAAAGCAAGUUUCAGUUUUACGGACCUCAAAAUGAUAUCGACCGAAACCUCGUAUUUGUCAAAAAAUGCUAGUUUGGUGCAUCCCCCGACGCUGUAAAUAUCGGUACAAAUAACGCACUUUUGGAGUGUGCGGAGAUGCUAACACCAAAAGGUUUCCAGUGUCGAUAAUUCACCGCCUUCGUGCAGUUCGAGAGCCCUUCCUGAGCUAGGACGAGCUGCUCUCAUCUCCUCUGGGCAGCAGACAAUUAGCUGCACAGUGCAGGUGGCCGGGGGCAGGGGGUGUUGAACGAAAUUCUCGCUGAUUUGCCCAUUCUGGUUUGCGUUUUUGUUAACUAACAGACCAGAAAACGGCAGCCGUCUCCCGUACUGCUUUAGAACUUCCUUCCAAUUUUAAUUAUUAACACCCUGCCCUUCACCAAAGCGUAUCAAAGCACUUUACAAACAUUACCGAACCCGCAUAACCACUCCGAGACGGGCAAAAAUUGCACACGACUCAUUUUACAGAGGCUUAAGGGGUUUUUUGACCAGAUUUAUAUUACAAGACGGGUCUCAUGAUUAUGGAGCUAGCCUAUGAUAGGAGAGACUGAGGGAUGUAGCUGGCUCACCACGGAUCCCUGACGUAAUUUUGGAUGAAGCAUUUAAUCACCCCAUGCCACGGUUGCUCCUUUUUAAAAGGAUAGUAGCGGGCGACAGUUUUCCACCACGGGAGAAUACUGGGAAGACAAAUUAAACUGCAGAGCAUCCAAUACCCCCUUGACGUAUCGCUUACAAGGUCAAAAUCCGGGAAGGAACUGGAAUCAGACCACACUUCGUACUCCUCAACUCCAUUUACUCACCGCUGCUCCUCUUCAUUUUCAUUUGUCAGGACAGAGGAGAAUUUUAGCUCAAGAAAGCUGGAACAGAGAACUAGUGAUAUAAAUUCCCUUUCAUGACCUAAAUCUGUGGCUUAUUUUACUUUACUCAAAGCCUAUCACCUCUUUUUAAGCCUAUUUUUAGAUUUAACUCCACAUUUUGCAAUGUGGCAGGAGCUGAUAGACAACACAGCCCUAAGUAGGUCUUGCCAGGUGUUGCAGGUCUCUUCUAAGGCUAAGGGAAGAUGUAAAAAAGACAAGUCAGAACGUUUGCAGGGCCUGGCCACAGCUUCAAAGGAGGAUUUCUGGCUGUGCUUGAAACACAGAUGCUAGCGGUCAGCUAUGAGACAGAUGAGAUACUGCCCUCGCCAUGGGAACUCGAGCAAGAAGUAGGAAAAUCAGCCCAUAUUCAAAAGGGAUUUGAAUAACUUUGGAUCUGCCUCCUCUGAAUUUUUCACUAGACUAAAGCACUCUGACCUUUAAUUAAUUUUCCUUCUCCUUUUAAAUGGUAACUUCCAGCUCCGAGGCUUUUAACGCUGUGUUGGCGGGCGACGGGGGUGCGGGAGCAGUCUGGGGUGUACCCGAGCUAUGUUGAGCAGCGCAUAAAUCUGCACGGUCAUUUAGGAGAGGGAGCACAGGGUGCUGCAACAGCUGAACUGCAGCAGUUAACAUCAGGGGCCAGGUAAAUACAGCCUUGUCGUCAACGUCAGGAGUUGCCCAGGAUAUUAGGCUUCGAUUCUUAUUUUCAGAAGACAAAAAGCUUAACUUUCACCGAAAAUAGCCCUUUUUUCAACGAGGUACUAAGAGGAGCAAAGAAACAUUCCUUCCUCAAAAGCAUCCAUUACCUUCGGGGCAAACUAAAGCCACGUUCCUCCUACGUGCUUGAGCACCAUCUCUACUGUAACAGGGAGAACAGACGCAGGAAUCCUACACGCCGGUAUUUAGGGGUAUUUAGGUUAGCCCCGAUGACGUGCACACGAAGCAUACCCCGAACAGCCAGCCUCCAGGAUGCUGCUCACGCACAGCCCAGCGGAGGCACGUUUCACCAACAGACGUUCUCCUUUCUUGUGCACGACUUCCUUCUGCCUUCAAGCGAUAAGAAACCCAGCUACAGGCUGACCCUCUUCCCAGAGCAGAGGGCUCGCCGUUAUAACCUCAGCAGCAGCACGCGUGUGCCCUGUGCCUGUUACGUGCCCCUUCCCCACACGUUAAGGUGGCCGGGAGAAGCAGGAGGUUGUAAUUUUGGGGUUUAUUUGACCACGAAGGACAUGCACGAGCUGUGUGCUUCCUUGUGCAUGCUCAGGCAGCAUCCAGAGCGCCUCCCUCGCAAUUUCUCCUGCACCAGCGCUGGACCACAUGCCUUAGCCUAGCUGAAAAGGAAGCUUUGCUUAAGCACAGCAGACAGCCACCGAAGGGGAAAGGAAACGUGAAAUACUUCCCUCUCCAAGUGGCUGCCUUGCACAGUUCACCAUUAUCUUUAGCUUCUCUCAUUCCACACUUUAUCCUGUAACAGCCCAGAAUUAAAGUCUUAACGGGGACUUACAGAAGUACUUAUGGCUGCACAGGACAGAAGAACGACAGUUUGUCCUUUAAAAAUAUCAUCAGAAGUUAGAGAUUCUGACAGUUCCCCGAGCAGGAAAGUAGCUCUCCUCCUCCGUUUCGUACAAGCUGAUUAUUUAAUAUUUUUUCAGAGCUAUCUUUGAACAAAUUUCACCUAUACGCAACACACAAAGAGCAAGCCAGAUGUGUUAGAUAUUGAAAACUCCGUUUCGAGUCCCGUUUUAAAAAUAGACUCACUUGAAAACGAGAAAAUAUUUGCAAAUAAGAUGAGGCAGAAUGAGUCGCACUUCAUGCAAAACCCAAAACGGAACUCGAGCUAAGAACAAAAAAAGUGACUCACUCGCUGAGCAGGUGUCGGGGUGCGGGGUGGACACGGCGGCCAGUCGCACGUGGGCUCCGGGUUCCGCUUUGCGCUGGCCAUGCACGUGUGCCUUUCUGCCCUGUGCACUCGCACUGCGAGCCGCUCGGCUUAGGGCUUAGCUGUUUGGCUACCGAGCUAAGGUCCCACCUAUGGUGCAAUAGCAGCAACCCGUUGACAAAGCAGAGGCGUGUACAGACGAUUUUUGAGAUAGAGGAUUGGAGAUGUGCAUCUAACCCGUCACGGUGCCGGGGCUUCCUGCCGGACCCCGGCCGAAUCAGCUCGUAGAUAGAUCCACGACCGUUUGCAAGCGCGAGAUAAGACCUUCUUCUUUAGCUGGAGAUGUCGUGCAGCCCUGCUGUGAAGACGACAAGCGUUCCAAGAACUCGAACAGAAGCCGCCACACAAGCACACAGCACUCACCAGCAGCCAACACAAGCCGCCAGAGGCACACGGAGGGGAUGGACAGAUGCUGCCGUGUUUUCCUACCGACUUCCAGACAAGGUACCGGUGCCCUGAUGGCUCAUACUGACACAGACCUGCCGUCCUUACCGACCUGCCACCAAACUCGAAGGCCAUCUCCUAACUCAACGGAAAAAAGGACAAGAAAUGCGUUCUUUGUGAGGCACCGUACAACAGCCCGUGCUCUGCUCGGUGCCUUUCCAAGAAGGAUGAAAAGUGGCCAGCGGCACUGCUGACAGUUCAAAACAGCCACGGGGAAAGCAACAUGAGCGUGCAAGGCACUUUCAAAGGCUCCGCCCUGCACAAAAACCAGAGAUUUUUGUCUGCAGGCCCCACAGAACAGCUCCUACUUCUUUGAGCAGCCACGAACACAUCACCGUGAACAAAAGCUUACGCUCAAAGGGAUUUCUUUUCCCACAGCAAAGUUUACUGACUCCAGGUGAGCAGGAGCCUUCUGUUUGCUUGUGUGUCCUUCCCCCUUUGCACUUGCCUUUUUACAUAUAUAAAAAAAGAAAGAGAUGGUGAUAAAGAAAGUGCACGGACAGGCCACAGAUGCAGCUGUAACCGCGACAUCCUUUGGCAGGGCAAUCUCUCUUCCCUACCAUGGAGUAACCAAGCUAGCUGCGGUCAAUGAAUUCUAAAAGGUAAAUUUUUCUACCUUCAAUUAACUGCAUUAGUACUGUUUAUAACUGUGUGAUUGAUAAACGCUCUGCAGAAGCUGUAAUUAAUGUAUUUUUCGUCUUGGAACACAUAGCGAACCCCUUGGCACCCAGACACUAAAUGAAAAGCAAUUUAUCAACCUGCUUUGAAUAGCUCAAUCCGACUCCUUAAUGCAAAGAGAAGCACGCUUUGCUUAAGGCGCUACAGCCCUGUAAAAGCAACGCGUGCCGCAGAAUCACAAAUGCCAUCAGACACAGUUUGGGUUUCGAUAGGGAUGACGCCGACCAGGACGCUCAUCGUGCUGAGGAACGGGGUACGUCAGUAGGACCUGGGGCUUAGCCAGGAUCCUCACCCUGGGUACAGCCUAGCAGCAGGUUGGCAGAUGUGGUUUUCCAGGACUGAGGUUAGGAGGGUGUUUUUAGGACGCCGGACGAAGCUCUGGAUUCUCCUCACGGCCAAGCAGCGCUGACCCGCACGGGGACGCGGCAUCUCGGUGUUAUUUCAGUCCAAACGUGAUCGGCUGCUCACACAGCAGACAAAAAUAAAGUGCUUACGGAGCGUUUGAAUGCUAAUUUCUCAAAUUCGGUGUUGCUUUGUACGUUUGACAUACGCAAAAAAUAAAAACAACUCCAACAAGAACAAAAAAACAGCGUUUAUAGAGGGAAAGGCUUGACAUCACAGCAUUUUAUGUCGGUAUUAGCUGCUGGGGGGAUUAACCAGCCUUCAAAGCCUGAAAUCUAAACUCACAUUUCUGGAAGCACGGGCUCCACAUAUUCAGUAGAGAAGUCGGUCUGUCCUCCAUAUGGCAGCCUGAAUGUAAGGAUUACAUAUUUCCAUUGCACAUGUGAGUCUGCUCCCCGUUCCUGCAGUGUCUUGCCCUCUUCCAUUUGUCUUUUGAUUCAGAUAAAAGCCAGCGCAGAUCCUAACUGCUGAUACAGAGAAAGGCACAAGACACAGUGUGACUUUGGAUGAAGGAAGGAAAAAAAAAGGACUCAGGUCCAGACUGCUAGAGCAUGUCAAGAGAUUGUCUUUGAAACUACAGAACCAGAAAUGAAAGCGCUGCUUUUUUAUUUGAUUUGAUCAAAGCAACUGGGGAUGGGGAGGGGGGUGGAAAGAAAUCACAUCCUACAGAUGCAGGCUAAAUUUUAACUACUUCACACAUAAUGCGGGACCAGCUGAUCCCAUACAGGCAUAAAUAAAGAGAGAAAACAAAGAGGUAAAGUCACCCUAGCUCUGAAUGCGCUCUUUCCACAGAUCGCUGCUUCAGGGUCUGCCAAAGAGCAACAGGAACCCAUUUCAAAGCAAGAAAGGCACAGGAAGCAUGUACCCAGCACUCUCGCCAGGGGCACACACUUUAAGUCUCCAGUGAAGAGCAGAGGAGCAAGCUCCUGACAAAUCAGAAAAAAUGCUCACAAUGCAAUGGCUAUUUGGAUAAAUACCCUGCUCCUCCCUCCGCGACUCUGCUCCCCAGAUCCGACUGCGAGGUAGCAGCGGUGUGAGACAACCCUCCGGAGGCAGGCUUUGUGCUGCUCGCUGAGAAUUACCAGGAGGUAAUUCCUUCUCCUCGCCCAGAGCAUCCGCUCUGAUCCACGCUGGGCACAGGAGAACCAGGCUUCGUGGAGUGCGAAUCAGAGCACAGGUUCCUGCAGGCCCCAAACGGCAGCGGAGGAGAACCAGACAGCCACAGCUGCCACCCUCCCUGAUAGGAAGGGUUAUGAAUACCUGCCGGGUCGGCUGUGUGCUUGUGGAAAUUACCGGCUGCAGAAGGUGAGCCGUUUCCUCUGGGCUAGCAUGAUCAAGCUCUUUGCCUUUCGCUAAAAAUGAAGCAGAAGUCAUUUUAACACGUGAGGCAGACAACAGUCGCGCGCAGGGGAUCAAAUAGCUCUCCAGAUGUUUGUUUUAAAUGAAAUUCAGAAGCCAGCAUAAACCAGAUUUUAAACACUGAAUAAUCCGCACCAUAAUUUGCAUGAGAAAACUAGGAAAAAAGGGAAAAAGGUUCCGUCCUACCGCUCUGAAACUCUCCAGGAACAUGCAGGGUCAGAAAGGACGUCCUGAUGAGAAGGGCAGGAAUCAGUGACCACAAAACUGAGAAGCAGAUCUGUUCCUAGGCUCUCCAGCUGACACCUCCAAGUAUGAACAGCCCCACACUGAAAACUGAUGGCAUUUCCCCCUCCUGAUGGAUGCUCCACGCACACAUCCUAGGGCAUCUCACGUGAAGAAAGUCUUUGACCUUCCUCACCAAGACUAUUCACAAUCACGGGCUGAAAAGCGUCUAAAAAUCUCAGCCCUACAUCUUUAAACUCCUUCCCACCUUGCUCCUUUAGUGAAUGCCUCCUGAUUGUGCGAAAGCAAGAAUAUUCAGGCCUCAAUCUAGUAGCUUGGGUGUUAUGCUGACAAUGUCUCUGGAGAGCGGAAGAGAAGCGAGGACAGAUUUCCAAUAGCUCAGACGCUGCUCUGUAAGAAAAGCUGCUACACAGCAAGAGAGAUAAAUAAAGAGGGAAAGGAACACGCCGGAGAACUUCUCCCAAGGUCACAUCAGGAUGCCGAACGCCACCCAUCUGCAGGGGGAGGUUUAGACGCCCUGUUUAACUACGUCCAUCCAUUUGCUUGCUGGCAGCCACAGUCCUCAUUAAACCAAACUGGUUCUGAGCAUGAAAGGAGGACGUAGGGAAGAUGGUGCUAGCUAAUAAAUGCAAAGGGAAAGGCAACAGAGGCGGUCCCGGACGGGUGCUCUUUGCAGGAAAACGCAGCCGCGCAACGGGCAGAGCCUGUGCGGAGCCAGCGCGAGGCUCAGCGACACGGCGCAUCCCCAGCGGAGCCUCCAAGCAAGGCUCGUGGCUCCUGAAGAUGAAAUUCUGCGCCGUUCAGGCACGAGCAGCACCGGGAUGCCAGCAGGAACUGGAGCUUUUACGACUCUGCUGCCGCGCAGGGUCACCCGCCCGUCCCAGUUCCUCACUGCUUCGAAAUAAAGGCUGGCGACACGUGGCAGAUCACCGAGGACAGAGCGUGCCAUGAAGGAAAAGCCCUGCCCCAAAUAUUAUACCAGUUACUGCUGCGUGCCCUCCUAACAAGAGUGCUUCUCGCCCGUCUCAGCGGUCUGAAAGACACGCUGGGCAGAAUUUCAAGCUAUGACAAAGUGAUCUUAUCACUUCUGCGCCGCGCUCGCUACACAAGCCCCUGAUUCAGCAGCAUGUAAAAAAAAAAUCUUCAUUUGCAUGAAAAGCACUCGCUGAUCACAAAGUCUUCUGUUCAGCACUCCCCUUCCCAUCGGCGGCAGCAAGAUGCGAGAGCACUGCUGUCAUUCUGCUGGCGACCGAGGUGGAAUAUUCUGCGUGUGCUCCCCACAUUUUAACGCGAUCUUUCCCUAAAAUUUUAAUAGUGUUUCGGAGUAACACAAAAGCUGCACACAUCCAGUGCCAAGGCCCUCGUGUGCGAUGCUUUCACUGGCACUUUUAAUAACCGUGCCGCACAAAGGACGUUUCAUAUCAACGCGCAGCCACCACAAACACCUCCAAAAUGUCUCAGACAAGUCCAGUCUUUUCCAGUCUGCGUUUACAGCGCUGGGUGCCACGACCCAGAGCUUAAAGAGGAUGUACUGCAAUCGAGAGGGAGGUGUAGUCAUGCGGAGAACAACGUUCUGAUUGCAGUGAGAUUAACCUCUGUCGUGGGAAACCCAAUAAAACACGUAUUUUGUUAUCUUUCAUGACAAAGAGGCUGUUAAAGCUUAACGACGUUAGCAAAGUUUUUCCUUUGGACUAACCCAUGAGCCUGUAGUACGAAGGUAAAGCACGCCGGCAGAUGCAAUUACUCGGUUCUCUCCUGAUUCGGAGGGAGAAAGUCCACGGUUUCAGCAGCUGAAGACUUCAUGCAACAGUCCCGUGCCCUUUCCCGAUCACAGGUGGGUCACUGAGGCCAGUCCCAGCCUCCAGGCAGUAAACACCAGCUCUCACCUCCAGCUAUUUGCCGGAGUUCGUCGCGUCCCACGCACACACCCCGAAAUCACACGGGACCCUGAGCUAAUUCAACAUAAAUACCUUCCACCCAGGCGGCGACGCGGUCCCCGUUUGGAAACAUCUCCUUUCACGUCAAUCCAGCGCCGACGAGUUCGGAUCCGAUCCCAAAGAGGUGCCGGGGCUGCCGCUGCUGCCUCCCGUGCGUCGCCGAGCAUCUCGGCCGGCGCGUGGCCGCGAAGGGACGGCCCUACGACGGCUGCUGCUUGGAACCGGGCCGCCCGGCAUCUCGUGUACGCUGCAUUUUUGAGCACGCUGCUCUAAGCUGCUUUGCUAGCAAUUUCUGGCCCGCGCGGCGUGCAAGAGCACAGCCCCGGCCUCACAAAGAGCAGACCCGUAAAUGACAUCUCGAGGAUUAAACUGAUUGAGAUGCAAUUUGCCUAGCAACCAUUCAUUAAGCAGAGUUCACAAACAGGCCAGCAAUCUAUUCCACCUCCUUAUCCGAGCAGUAAACAGAUAGCAGUCUCUGCUGUGUCCUCUCUCCGCCGGCUCAGACACAUUGUAAACAGAUUUUUCAGAAGUUUCGACUCCUACGGUAAACAGCGGAGAACAACCCUGCCCUCCGAGCGCCAGGGAUUCGGUUCCAGCCAGCGCCUCGCCAGCCUCAAGCAGCUCCAGAAGGAUGACAACGCAAAUCAGAAGGCGAAUGGUAAAACAUCUCCCCGGUAUUUUCUCACCUCGAGCACUAAGAGCCUAGCCCAGUCUUUCAAGAAAAACCUUCAUCACACGAGCAUUUGGCAUUGCUAUUCCGAUCGCUG
Molecule: long non-coding RNA, 12843 nt
Organism: Cygnus olor (mute swan)
Lineage: Eukaryota; Metazoa; Chordata; Aves; Anseriformes; Anatidae
Exons: 2
Source: RefSeq, a predicted model, not a curated record